GCCUGGGCUGGUGGACCCACAUCCCAGGUUGCACCUGUCGUCCCCGGGCCCAGCAGACACAGGCUCAGGGCGCUGGGUCCCUGGACAGGCCUCCUGGACCACUUCGGAAGGCAUAUCCCGUCCGGGCCUUCUGGGCCAGAGAAGCGGUCAGAACGAGGGGGUUUCCGUCCUGGGUCUCGGGUCGAGCAGCGGUGUCCCCUCGGCAGGAUCUUCCUCCUCCAGGACUCAGUUUCUUCUCGAGCAGGAGCUUUGGUCUCCAGGACAGCAGACCAAGGGCGGAGCACACCCAGCUCGCCCAACAGCGGGCAGAACCAGCGUCCGGCCCUGUCGUCUCACCCCGAGCCCCCGCUGUGUAACCAACGUGUUAAUUGCCUGGUGCCGGGCUCCAGGGGCCCCGCUGGGCCUCCACUGGCAGGGACAGGCCUCAGGGACAGAUCCACGCCAGCUCGGUGAUUCUGCUUCUUCCCAAAGAGCCGCCCUGCCGGCUCCAGAACAGUCCUCAGUGGGCUCUUGUCUCUGUCCGGGAGCCCAAACAGCUUAGGCCCGGAGCCAGAGGGCCUGGAGUUCAGGGCCCACCUCUGCCGUGUCCUGGCCGGGUGCCCUGGGACGGCUGGUGGCCCACUCCCACUUCCCCACCUGCAAAGCAGGGAGAAUGGUCUCACCCACCUCCUAGAACUGUGAACCUUAAAUACUGACCCUGGGUGAAGUGCUCCCAGCACAGCGUGGGCCAGAAUGCUGGCCAUUGUCACCGCUGACCACGGGACUCACUGGCCUUGUGCUUCCACAGGCCGGCCCUGGCCAGCCCAACAUAGGGCUGAGCAGAGACCGGCCAUUCUCCUGGAAGUCCGAGCUGGCAUCCCCCGCGGGCAGCCUCAGCCUCUGUGGCUGGACACUAAGCCUUAUCAGGGCCGGGGAAGGUCAGGGUGGUGGAGGCCGUGGGCUGCGGGCCUGUGUGCUGUGGUCAGUCCUGGGGAAGGAGCCAGGGUCUGAAGCCACACUCCCCAGCCCUAGCAUUGACCUCCGCCCACCAGAAAACCCUGGAGAACAGGGGGACGGGCAGCAGACAAGGCCCAGCAACCGCAGGGACCAAUCCUCUGCCAAAGCCCCACACUUGAUCCCACCCACCACACACAGUCCCCUGAUGGCUUCCUGGCUCCUGAGUCAUGGGGACAGCAGAGGGGCAGCUGCGGGUCUCCAGAGGUGAAGAUCAAGCACAGAGAGUCAGCUCUGCCCCCUUCACCUUCAGCAUCACCAAGUCCCCGGGCGCCAGAGCCCUCCCCAUUGCAUGUGUGUCUCCAUCGCCAUGUGCUGCCCUCUACCAAAGUCCCUGUCCUCAAGGUGUCACAGCCCUGGGAGCUAAGUGUCCCCUUUACCCCUCCCCGUCGUCCUACAAGUCCUGGCCCCUCCUCAGAGGUGAGCCUGACCAGAGCUGCGAGUUGACUCCUCCCCCACCUGACAUCGACUUCUACGGGUAGGAUUUGUUUGACGGAGGACGGGUCAGGGGCUGGGGACGUGGCUCCGUGGUAGAGCACUUGCCCAGCACGUGGAGGCCCUGGGCUUGUUCUUGCAGACAGAAAAGGGCCAUCCCAUACCUGCUGUUCUCUGACUCACCAUUUCUCCUUCUUCUUUUCUUUUCAGAGCGUAGAUCUUUCCACAUUAGUAUACAGAUCUGUCAUAAUUAUCAGCCACUGCAGAUUGUUUACAGAAAACACAUCAGAAAAGGGCAAUCACCUGCACUCUCAAAGAUGUUUUUUUUCUUACUUACGUAAAUUAAGAAGUAAAAGCUCCAAAUAUGGUGUCUGUCUCUUGCAUCUUUUCCUAAGAUUGUGGAGGACGCUGUGGAGAGGCUGUGCUCACUCAAACACACACGCUGGUCUUGCAAGGUGGCACCCUGCUCUUCAC
This 1902-nucleotide long non-coding RNA is filed under the name Marmota monax (woodchuck). Lineage: Eukaryota; Metazoa; Chordata; Mammalia; Rodentia; Sciuridae. The record is from RNAcentral.